AUCUAAGGCAAAGAAGGUGGAUGG
Molecule: non-coding RNA, 24 nt
Filed under: Arabidopsis thaliana (thale cress)
Lineage: Eukaryota; Viridiplantae; Streptophyta; Magnoliopsida; Brassicales; Brassicaceae
Source: RNAcentral